This 536-nucleotide long non-coding RNA is filed under the name Salvator merianae (Argentine black and white tegu). Its description in RNAcentral is "lncRNA (ENSSMRG00000000394.1)". Lineage: Eukaryota; Metazoa; Chordata; Lepidosauria; Squamata; Teiidae. The record is from RNAcentral.
GCAGAAUGCGAAGAUGUUCACGCGGACUACUACUUUCAAACGCGUUUCCAUUUGUGUGGUCGUAUUGCUAUUUCUCGGUGUCCUUUUAUUCGGCAGCUUGUAUUCUUCAGCAGUGAGGGAACGGGAGAUGUUCAAAAUGGGAAUGGGGAUGAUUCGGAGCUUUGUUAUUGGGAUUGAUCCUUUCUAUGAAGACAAAAAUGACUAUGAAGUGCUUGCUAAAGCCCAGAACAUAUCUGAAAGGAUGCUAAAUUUUGCCAACCUGAAUGAUGAAAUUCAAGGAGUACUUUCUGGCCUGGUUUCAGACUUGGAAACGGGCUGGAGGUUAUACGAAAAGGCUUUCUAUUUCAUCACCCCUUUCCCAAUGUCAUGGUGGGACGCCAAAAAGCGGUGUGAAUCGGUUGGUGGCACACUGAUUUCUGUAGAGACUGCAGAAGAAAUGAGCUAUGUGAAUAGCAUAGCGAAAGAGUUGAGUUAUCCCAUCUGGAUUGGGCUUUUUAAAGACCAGGGAAGAAACUGGAAAUGGCUGGGAGGAUCAG